RNAcentral lists this ribosomal RNA (255 nucleotides) under uncultured bacterium. RNAcentral's name for it is "partial 16S ribosomal RNA". The record is from RNAcentral.
CUGCUGCCUCCCGUAGGAGUUUGGGCCGUGUCUCAGUCCCAAUGUGGCCGGUCACCCUCUCAGGUCGGCUACUGAUCGUCGCCUUGGUGGGCCGUUACCCCACCAACUAGCUAAUCAGACGCGGGUCCAUCUCAUACCACCGGAGUUUUUCACACCGGAUCAUGCAAUCCUGUGCGCUUAUGCGGUAUUAGCAGUCAUUUCUAACUGUUAUCCCCCUGUAUGAGGCAGGUUACCCACGCGUUACUCACCCGUCCG